Gasterosteus aculeatus aculeatus (three-spined stickleback) is the source of this 1435-nucleotide long non-coding RNA. The record is from Ensembl. NCBI's taxonomy places the organism in Eukaryota, Metazoa, Chordata, Actinopteri, Perciformes, Gasterosteidae.
CUUAGUGGCUUUGGGCACUUUCACAUUUUAAGGAACUUGGAGCGACUUCCCAGAGGAAGGAAACUUCUGACCUUAAGAACUGCCGAGAUCUUUCUGUGUUGGGGGGACGCUAAAGCUGCCCGUUUAAGGGCCCCGUCGCUCGUCUUUCUCUUUGAAUAUUUCAUGAGCUCAUUAGGACACCGGCGCCGCGCCGCCGUUUGCUUUAUACACACUAUAACCUCAGAGUCCGCAGAGCGCCGGGUAGUCUGGGGGACAGUUCUGAGAAUGCAGAGAGCGGAUUAAAGCAGUCGAGGUGUAGGACCAAGACCCUCACAGUAAAGAAUCAAUACCGCUGUGCACGCUGGCCAAAUGCUCUGCAAUCAGGUGAUACAACGGACUACAAGACCGUCCCCUUUUCAAAAUAAGCGACAAAUAAAUCAACGCGUCACUGGGAGAUAAUGCAGGAUAAUACCAGAGAUCCCCAUUGAUUGGCCAGAUGGAGCCGACAUCGACCCGAGAACAAGGAGACGGUGCUGAGAGGCGAUGGAACCAGGCACCGAGAAGAGAGGCCUCUCACACUCGGCUCCUCAGAAGGAGGUUCAGGUGAAGCGAAGGUCUCCGAGGUGGAGCUGCACCAACAGUUCACCAACAGUUUGCUGCCAAGACAGAGUCUCUCUCUUACUUUGCGCCCUCCUCCCUCCUACUUUUGAUCCGCUUCUCUCGGUCUGUCUCCUCCUGCCUCUCCUGCUCUGCCUCCCACACUUUCCCGCUGAGGGAUUCGCCCUCAGCGACCUGCGCUGUUGCUUAAACUAUGUGCAGAAGAUUUAGAACAUAUUAAAAAAGUCAUAUUCAUGCUAUUGACAUCUUGGCUGCGGAGAAAUGUUUUACCCAAUUCUAAUAGAUGCAAAUGCAUCUUGCGAGCACGUGAAGGUCAGCGAGGAGCAGAUUGUUCUCCGGCAGCUCGGAGACAAACUGAAUAUCUCACGAGAGGAAGAACGAGGUUGAAUGUGUGUUAGUUAGGAACAUUGUUAUUGUGUUUCUAAAUAGUUCUUUUCAGCUUUCAAUGUGAAUGUUCGAUGUGUGAAAAUCUCAUAUCUGUGCAAGAAAGAGAGAAAAGGUUCCGAGCGCUCAGAUGUAAACGAAGGUUUGGUUCGGUUUGAACACAAUUUAUUCCUUCUGAUAUCACAAUUAAAUCAAUUCAGUCAAUAUUCUUUCAGAAUGGUUUUUACAGCUUUCCUUUCAUUUGAAUAUUUGAAGUCAUGUGCGAUGCUGAGGUGUGCUUUAAAGUCUCACUUCGCGGCAGCUAUUUACAGCAUUGUGACAUCACUGGUGGGCGUGGCUAAAGGUGCCAUGGCAACUCAAAAAAAAGUUUCCAUUCAUCCCAAAAGAUGUUUUUUUUUUCCAUUUUGGGAUAUAUUGAAUCUUAUUUCAUUCAAUUUAUUCAUCUAUAUUGUAC